Micropterus dolomieu (smallmouth bass) is the source of this 236-nucleotide long non-coding RNA. RefSeq lists it as uncharacterized. Lineage: Eukaryota; Metazoa; Chordata; Actinopteri; Centrarchiformes; Centrarchidae. The record is from RefSeq and is a predicted model, not a curated record. The transcript is spliced from 3 exons.
GCCUCCAACCUUUAAGGUUGGAGGCAAGGAAAGAUUGGUGGCAACCAAGAAAUGCUGCAAUAGGCCCAGAAAGGCAGUGAAGAAGAAGACUGCAAACUAGUCCACAUGGAUGUAAAAGACCACGUGUUUUGGAGGCUGCAGUCCAUCAGGACUAAAACCUCAGGCCACAAGAACAUUUUCUUCCCAUCUGUAGCUGGCCUCAUCAACAAGGUCCGGGACCCUCGCUGACACUCAUG